Molecule: ribosomal RNA, 340 nt
Filed under: Oncomelania hupensis hupensis
Lineage: Eukaryota; Metazoa; Mollusca; Gastropoda; Littorinimorpha; Pomatiopsidae
Description: partial large subunit ribosomal RNA
Source: RNAcentral
AAUCAUUUGCCCUAUAAUUGAGGGCUAGUAUGAAUGGUUUGACAUGAGCAUAGCUGUCUCCUUAAAAUUUUAUAAAAUUUGGUUUUUAGGUGAAGAAACCUAAAUUAAAUUGAAAGACAAGAAGACCCUAUCGAGCUUUAGAAUAAUUAAUUAAAAAAUAUAAAUAAAACAAUUAAUUUUAAUUAAAAACUUUGGUUGGGGCGACUGAGGAACAUAUAAAACUUCCUUAAUUAAACAAUGCUGAUAAGCAAUGAUCCAGGAAAUCUGAUUAAAAAAAUUAGUUACCGUAGGGAUAACAGCAUAAUCUUUUUUGAGAGCUCUUAUCGAAAAAAAGGUUUGU